AUGUCAGGAAGAGAUCGCCUGCCGCGCCGUUUUGUCGAAGAUGGAAGGGGCUAUGUUGACGCCCGUGUGGCUGAGGAUCGCAGGGGUCAUCAUCCUGGUAUCCGAGUGGUUGAUGAUCGUAGGGGCCAUCAUGAGAUCCAUGUAGUCGAUGAUCGCAGAGCCUAUCCUGCAGGUCGUGUGAUUGAGGAUCGUAGAGCCUACCCUGAGAUUCACGAAAGGCCGCUCAUGAGGGUGGCUCCUCGCUCUCACCCGGAUGUCCUAGAGGAAGAAAUUCAGUUGCACAAGGUUGAUUUCCGCAGGCUUAUGGCUGAUCGUCAUGCUCUAGCUGAGGAACGGAUGGAGUUGCACAGGGAGUUGCAAGCCGGAAAGGAGGAGGUCUGUCACCUUAACAUGAUCAUCGCAGAGAUUAAUGCCAAGAAGGAAGCUUAUAUCAGCGAGCUCGUUGACAAGAGAAGGAAGCUUGAAGCUGAACUUAGAUCAAAUGAGCCUUUGAGAGAUGAGGUUGUGCAUCUUCGUGGUGAAAUCGAGAAGCUCCUUGCUGUUAGGAAAGAACUCUCUGCAAAGGCUGCAUCACUCAUGCAGGAGCUGAGUAGGGAGAGAUCUGAUAAACAACAGUUACCUAUGCUGAAAGCAGAGAUUGAGGGCCUUCAACUGGAACUUACUCAUGCAAGGAAUGCAUGUGAAUUGGAGCAGAAGGGGAAUUUCGAGUUGGUGGAACAAAGGAAAGCAAUGGAGAAGAGUAUGAUUUCGAUGGCACAAGAAAUUCAACAAAUGCGGGCCGAAUUAGCUAAUUUUGAUGGCAGACCAUGGGGCACAGGUGGAGCACAUGGGAUGAAGCUGGGAAGUCCUGAAGCGACCUUCCCUACUCAAUAUGGAGAUAAAUACAAUAUACAUGCGGGAGUUUCUGAGAAAGGUCCUUCGCACCCUCCUGAAUCUUCGUGGGGCACAUUUGAGAAGAACCGUUUCCAGUACCGCUAA
This 978-nucleotide ribosomal RNA is filed under the name Triticum aestivum (bread wheat). RNAcentral's name for it is "partial small subunit ribosomal RNA". Lineage: Eukaryota; Viridiplantae; Streptophyta; Magnoliopsida; Poales; Poaceae. The record is from RNAcentral.